GUAAACACUGAUUACGUUUUACCCACUGACCAUCCUAACAGCACUAGCAGUGCCUCAAUCUCUGAUGACAUCAAGGAACGAGCAUUGUGAUCAUGACUAAUCUGAAACCAAAGGACUGGUAUUUACUGGUGCCAUGUAGGAUUGGGGAUGUAUGUAAAUCGGGACAUCAUUACAACCUAAUUGUCACUCCAGGACCUGAGCCCUAGGACCAUGCAUCAGGACUACCUGGCUUGAUGACUCCUUGCUGUCCCCAGUUCACCUGUCCGUGCUGCUGCUCCAGUUCCACCUGUUCUGCCUGCAGCUAUGGAACCCUGACCUGUUCACCGGACGUGCUACCUGUCCCAGACCUGUUGUCCCAGACCUGCUGGAACCCUGACCUAUUCACCGGACGUGCUACCUGUCCCAGACCUGCUGUUUUCAACUCUCGAGAGACAGCAGGAGCGAGGAACUCUGGAUCUCUGUCAGUGUCCAUCUGGUUCUUAGUCACCUCCCUGACCAAGGCCCUUCUCCCCCGAUUGCUCAUUUUGGUCAGGUGGCCAGCUCUAGGAAGAGUCUUGGUGGUUCCAAACUUCUUCUAUUAAAUUAAUUAUGGAGGCCACUGUGUUCUUGGGGACAUUCAAUGCUGCAUAAUUUAUUUGGUACCCUUCACCAGAUCUGUGCCUUGACACAAUCCUGUCUCGGAACUCUACAGACAAUUCCUUCGACCUCAUUGCUUGGAUUUUUCUAUGACAUGCACAGUCAACUGUGGGACCUUAUAUAGACAGGUGUGUGCCUUUCCAAAUCAUGUCCAAUCAAUUGAAUUUACCACUGGUGGACUCCAAUCAAGUUUUAGAAACAUCUCAAGGAUGACUAAUGGAAACAGGAUGCACCUGAGCUCAAUUUCAACUCUCAAAGCAAAGGGUCUGAAUAUUUAUGUAAAUAAGGUAUUUCUGUUUUUUAUUUUUAAUACAUUUGCAAAAACAAAAUGUUUUUUUCGCUUUGUCUUUAUGAGGUAUUGUCUGUAGUUUGCCGAGGAUAAAAAAAUAAAAUAAUUGUGAAGAUGGCUGUAACGUAAAAAUGUUGAAAAAGGGAAGGGGUCUGAACACUUUCCGAAUGAACUGUAUAUGCACCAUGCCACUGCCUACUUCAUUUGUUAAUUUAGCAAACAAGACAACAUAUUAAUCCAGUGCCCUUAUCACAGUCAACACACCUAUAUUUUUUAUUUAAUUAGCUUUAAAAAUGCAAAAUGUUCUCUCAGCCUCAUGGCAAAAUGUGUAGAAUAGCAUGUGACGAGCUUUAAAACAGCAACAUUUUCUCUAAGCCUCAUGGCAAAAUGUGUAAUAUAGCAUGAGAUCAGCUAUAUAACUGAACAUUAUUUGGGGGGACACCCAAAUUUCUGCAGGCCCACCCAUCAACAAAUGUUUAGCUACGCCACUGGACUGCACUGGGCCUUUAAACUGCCAUAUGCUUUUAUCACUAGUUAUUAUUGUAUUUUAAUAGACUGUAUUCAUUUACCAGUGUUUUAUUGUUUUUAAUGAGGUCUACUAAUUUCCAGUGGUGUAAAGUACUUAAGUUAAAAUACUUUAAAGUACUACUUAAGUAGUUUUUUGGGGUAUCUGUACUAGAGGUCGACCUCUAAUCUGUACUUUACUUUACUAUUUAUAUUUUUGACAACUUUUAUUUUUACUUCACUACAUUCCUAAAGAAAAUUGUAUCCUUUUUACUGCCUGACACCCAAAAGUACUAGUUACAAUUGGAAUGCUUAGCAGGACAGGAAAAAGGUCCAAUUCACACACUUAUCAAGAGAACGUCCCUGGUCAUCCCUACUCUCGGAUCUGGUGGACUCACUAAACACAAAUGCUUCCUUUGUAAAUCAUGUCUGAGUGUUGGAGUGUGCCCUUGGCUGUCAAAAAAAGUUAUACAAAAUGAAAUUUUGCUGUCUGGUUUGAUAAAUAUAAGGAAUUUGAUGUAUAGCAUUUACUUUUACUUUGUACUUUUACUCAAGUAUGAAAACUGAGUACUUUUUACACCACUGUAAAUCGGAUACUUUUAGAAUUUUACUCAGGUAGUAUUUUACUGGGUUACUUUCACUUUUACUUGAGUCGUUUUAUAUUAAGGUAUCUUUACUUUUACUCAAGUAUGACAUUUGAGUACUUUUCCCACCUCUGACUAAUUGCUAUACUGACUUGUGAAAUACAGUUGACGUCAACGCUGAUAACACUUUAUGACAGUAUUUUAAAAAAUCCUCUCCUUGUUUAAUCAGAGCCUUGCUGUAUCUGUUUAUAUUUUC
Molecule: long non-coding RNA, 2269 nt
Filed under: Salmo salar (Atlantic salmon)
Lineage: Eukaryota; Metazoa; Chordata; Actinopteri; Salmoniformes; Salmonidae
Description: lncRNA (ENSSSAG00000096912.1)
Source: RNAcentral